AACGAACGCUGGCGGCAUGCCUAACACAUGCAAGUCGAACGAGACCUUCGGGUCUAGUGGCGCACGGGUGCGUAACGCGUGGGAACCUGCCCUUAGGUUCGGAAUAACUCCCCGAAAGGGGUGCUAAUACCGGAUAAUGUCUUCGGACCAAAGAUUUAUCGCCUUUGGAUGGGCCCGCGUUGGAUUAGCUAGUUGGUAGGGUAAAAGCCUACCAAGGCGACGAUCCAUAGCUGGUCUGAGAGGAUGAUCAGCCACACUGGGACUGAGACACGGCCCAGACCCCCGGGGGAGGGAGGGGGGGGGAAUUUGGGAAAAAGGGGCAAAGGCUUACCCCAGAAGUCCCGGGGGAGGAAUGAGGCCUUGGGGUUUGAAAGCCUUUUUACCCGGGAAGAAAAAGACAAGCCCGGGGAAAAAAACCCCGGCUAACCCCCGG
RNAcentral lists this ribosomal RNA (433 nucleotides) under uncultured bacterium. RNAcentral describes it as "partial 16S ribosomal RNA". It matches the Rfam family "Bacterial small subunit ribosomal RNA", at positions 29 to 507 of the family's 1533-position model. The record is from RNAcentral.